GAUGAACGCUGGCGGCGUGCCUAACACAUGCAAGUCGAACGGAGUCCAGCCUUUAAGACCUUCGGGUCAAAGAGGGGAAGACUGAGUGGCGGACGGGUGAGUAACACGUGGGCAACCUGGCUCAUAGAGGGGGAUAACAGAGAGAAAUUUCUGCUAAUACCGCAUAAGCACACACUGCCGCAUGGCAGAGGGUGAAAAGAGAAUCGCUAUGAGAUGGACCCGCGUCUGAUUAGCCAUUUGGCAGGGUAAGAGCCUACCAAAGCGACGAUCAGUAGCCGAUCUGAGAGGAUGAACGGCCACAUUGGGACUGAGACACGGCCCAAACUCCUACGGGAGGCAGCAGUGGGGGAUAUUGCACAAUGGGGGGAACCCUGAUGCAGCGACGCCGCGUGAGUGAAGAAGUAUUUCGGUAUGUAAAGCUCUAUCAGCAGGGAAGAUAAUGACAGUACCUGAAUAAGAAGCCCCGGCUAACUACGUG
RNAcentral lists this ribosomal RNA (478 nucleotides) under uncultured bacterium. RNAcentral's name for it is "partial 16S ribosomal RNA". It matches the Rfam family "Bacterial small subunit ribosomal RNA", at positions 28 to 507 of the family's 1533-position model. The record is from RNAcentral.